Molecule: long non-coding RNA, 3486 nt
Organism: Peromyscus californicus insignis
Lineage: Eukaryota; Metazoa; Chordata; Mammalia; Rodentia; Cricetidae
Exons: 7
Source: RefSeq, a predicted model, not a curated record
GCUGCUUCCCGCGCAGUUCUUGGCUACGGUCUUCCCGCGUUCGCAGAGCUGCACCGCGGCGGCCCGGCCGGGCGGAGUUGCAGGGUCAUCAUUGUGCGGUGCGCAGGAUGGCCCAAGAGCAGGGAGAGCUUGCUUGGGUCUCACCUGGUACAUAUUAAGCUGCACGAUGCCGGGCAUUCUGGUCGCCAGGUGCUGUACGGUGCCUUAGAACUGGGUGUGGGCGCAACUGGCUAUAGGCACUGGUUAUGCUGGACGCUAGGUGAGCGACCUUCCGAAGCAAGAAGGAGGACCGAGCACUGGCCUCCAGGAGAGGGGACGGGAGCCAGACCCGAGAGCGCUCUCCAUUCCACGGAGCCCUCUAGCGCUAGGCGCGUGGAGCAGCAUUGGGAUCAGAGGACCUGGAAUGAUGGACGUAGUGAAGUGACAGCUCUGAGCUUUCCUGGAAAUGCCUGGUUCGUCAUUGAGUGACUCUCUGGCUUUGCUGUUUAAGCUGCAUCCCCGUGGAGGAAACAUGGGCACUCGUACACUUGUAAAAGGCCAUGGCAGCCUCCCCAGCUACCAUGAGCUUCUGCCUUAGACCGCGUUGAAAAGCCGUUGUAGACCUGACCGGUACUCCUGGCACCCCAGGACUCUCCAGCAUGGCCCUUCACACUGCUGGACUGCUGAGGCUAGUUGUCGGCUGUACCUCCUCUGUGGGACUUGUCUCUCCAGGCCACCGAACUGGCUGACUGACCACGCUGUAGCCAGCCCCUUCCAGGCUCUCUUCACCUGCCUUGUAUGCUGGUGAGGUGGAAGCCAUGUACCUCCCAGCCGUCCAAGGAAUCUGGUGAGAUGCCAGGGCCACAGCUGCCUACCCUGUGGGCACUUGCACAUCCAUUUGCCAUCUGUUGGGGGACUGAAACCUCAGAUGAGACUCCUUGUGGUGUCUGGCAAGGUUUGAAGUGGCCCCUCUGCAGAGGACCUGUGCUUUGCUCUCAGGGCACCAAGGGAAAGGCUGACUUGUGGUUCACUGUCCCCCACCAUGAGCUCCGCACUGGCUCCCCAGGCUGGGCCCCAUAACAGCAAGCCUUGGAAUUUGACUGUGUAUGUCGAAAAUCCUAAGAAUUUCUAGAUAAGUCCUCCAGAUUGAAGGUUUCAGGAAGGUGACCCUGACACCAACUCAUAGAAGGAAGGAACAGGCAAGACAUGGCCCCUCUGCAGCCCUCCGGGACUGCUUCAAGGCCCAUGCUCCUGGAACACCUGGGAUCAGAAUCUACCCACAGUUGAACAGGCUUCUCCACAGCAGCCAGGAGGGCAGUGUGCCUCAUCACAGACAGCUGGAUCCUACUCUGUUGGUCACAACAAAGUCUAUGACCAAGGGACCUUGUAGCCCAUCCAUGCAGUCUCAGAUGGAGAGAAACUUCACUUUCUACCUAUCACCCCCCCCAACUCGCAUUUCCUGAUUUCAUCCCCGGAGUUUAUCCAUCCCUGUGUCCACCAGAGCUGAGCUGGGCUUCACGCGGGGAGGGGCAGAGACGGAGGUGUAGAUGUGUGCAGCCCAUGCUGGGUUCUGAGAAACCAUAUUCUAAGUGUCCAGGCUCCAGCCACCCCCACCCCCACCUGGGCUCCCAGCUAUGUCAGGAAUCCAGCCCUUGUGCAGCCCACCAGCAUGGGGUGGCUGCCAUGGCAACGGGCAUGCAGGGUCAGGCGCAUCCCUUCAUUGUGAAUUCCCCAGCCAGCAAGCCAGGGCUGGACAGGGCUGCUCAAGUGUCCAAGAAGGUGGGUGGUCCUUGGCUACGGACUCUUCCCCCUACCUGAUCUGUGCUCACAAGUGCCCGCAGGGAAGAGCUUUAGCUGCACUGCUGCUGAAAAUGGAUUUUGGAGCUGCAAGCCCAUGUGAAUGCCACUACCUCCACACCAACUCAUCCCGCGAGAGCGCCAGACCAUGUAGGUCUCUGUUCUGGGAGGUCCCACUCAGUAACAUCGCACUAUUAGCCCACAAAAGUCACAGUGACCUUGAAGAAAUCCUGGCUACUUAAAAAUGAGCUCUCCCCAGGGACAGCACGUGAUUCACCCAGGGACAAAUCUCGCCUCUGUUUCUCUUUUAAAGAUAGUAUUUAGCAUUGGGCAAUGCGGGGGAUGCUUGGAACCAGUCCUGUUCACUCGGGAUUCCUGAGAUGGGAGCAAUUUACCUGUAACUUGAAGAUAAAAGCUGUGUAGAAGACACUGUGACCUGCCUAGAGGUGGCAGGCUCUUCUCUCCCUGCCUCACAGUUCUGGGCUCAGUGCUAGGGAACUGACUCCAGGCAAUUCAAUUCAAUUCUACUGCAUUGCCCAGCUCAGCAGAGUCCUGGGGACCAUCAGAAGGGUCAGGCUUUGCCUCACAGGCCUCCUGUACAGCACCUGGGGAUCCUGUGGCAGUGAGACUGGCAAUGUUGCUUUCCCACAAUGCUAUGCUCUCUCUCUCUCUCUCUCUCUCUCUCUCUCUCUCUGAAGUUUCCUUUAAGUAAAAUACAGUCAAGUCUCAAUGAUCACAGUAUAUUUGCAAAUUCACAUUCUGGAUAAAAUUUACUUGCAACUCCAAAAUCAAUCUCUGUAGCACUAUCAUGGUUUAUUCAUAGAUAAAGGUCACCGAGCAAUGAAGAAUGUGACCCCAUGUUCUAGGCUAAGGCCACAAGCAAUACUCUGCCUCCUUGUGUGUGUGAGAGAGUAUGUGGUGUACAAAUGUGUGUGUGUGUAUAAGUGUGUGGCUGUGUGUGGGAGAGGGUGGGAGUGUGUAAAUGUGGCUGUGUAUACACUCACCAUGACUGUCCCUCGGUGUCUCCCACAAUGGCUGUGCUAAAACUUCAGCCCUGGAGGUACAUUUGGGCACAUUAAGGCUCUUGCCUGACCAGAAGCUUCCACAAUGAAGAUCUUGCUCGUUCAUCAAACUCCAACUGAAUGUGAAAGGAAACGGAGACAGCAAACUCCUGGGCGUCCCUGACUCAUGUACAGCUAACAGAGAAGUUGGCUAGUGCCUGGCCAAGCCCUGGCCUCCUUCCCUUGCCUGUUUGGAGAUGAUCCCUGUCUGGAGAUAGUGAUGGGUAGCAGGACAUUGUGGCCACACUCCUUCUCCUAACUUGGAUAUUGGAUGUGGUCUAAGAUCCCUGGAAGAAGGAAGCCCAGAACCCCACCCCUGUUCAUGGAAUGCUGGCUGCUUGCACUGGAACCCCAUUGCUCUGAGAACAGCUCCCGGUCCCAGGCACAAUACUCUAAAAGGAGUGUUCCCCAGAACCCUUGUAUAGGGAUUUCCAGGCCAGAUAUCAGCGGCAGACCGUGCUCAGGAACAUCUGUCCAGUCCCCAAAGAUCUUGUGGCCCGAGGUCGUGUCUUUCUCCAGCUCUGAGGAAUUCAAAAGCUAUUUUGGACACUGGCUUUUCCAGGAUGGCCCAGCUAGACCAGAGGGACUGCUGAGAGGGUAGGGGUGGGGAGGCCAGGAGGCUAGACCCAUACUGGAGUGAGGGGAUGGA